RNAcentral lists this ribosomal RNA (454 nucleotides) under uncultured bacterium. Its description in RNAcentral is "partial 16S ribosomal RNA". It matches the Rfam family "Bacterial small subunit ribosomal RNA", at positions 355 to 824 of the family's 1533-position model. The record is from RNAcentral.
UGGGGAAUAUUGGACAAUGGGCGCAAGCCUGAUCCAGCCAUGCCGCGUGAGUGAUGAAGGCCUUAGGGUUGUAAGGCUCUUUCGCCGGUGAAGAUAAUGACGGUAACCGGAGAAGAAGCCCCGGCUAACUUCGUGCCAGCAGCCGCGGUAAUACGAAGGGGGCUAGCGUUGCUCGGAAUCACUGGGCGUAAAGCGCACGUAGGCGGAUCGUUAAGUCAGGGGUGAAAUCCUGGAGCUCAACUCCAGAACUGCCCUUGAUACUGGCGAUCUCGAGUUCGAGAGAGGUUUGGUGGAACUCCGAGUGUAGAGGUGAAAUUCGUAGAUAUUCGGAAGAACACCAGUGGCGAAGGCGGCCAACUGGCUCGAUACUGACGCUGAGGUGCGAAAGCGUGGGGAGCAAACAGGAUUUAGAUACCCUGGUAGUCCACGCCCUAAACGAUGUCAACUAGUUGUC